Molecule: small nuclear RNA, 108 nt
Organism: Sciurus vulgaris (Eurasian red squirrel)
Lineage: Eukaryota; Metazoa; Chordata; Mammalia; Rodentia; Sciuridae
Source: Ensembl
GUACUGGCUUUGGAAGCACACAUACUAAAAUUGGAAUAAUACAGGGAAGAUUAGUAUGGCCCCUGUGGCAAGGAUGACACACAAAUUCAUGAAGUCUUCUGUAUUGUU